Molecule: transfer RNA, 69 nt
Filed under: Galaxea fascicularis
Lineage: Eukaryota; Metazoa; Cnidaria; Anthozoa; Scleractinia; Euphylliidae
Also listed under: 3 other names
Description: tRNA-Leu
Source: RNAcentral
AGAGGUUUGAUUGAAAUUAUCUAAAGAUUAGUUUUAAAACUUAGAGUGUCUUGAUUAUUGAAACCUCCG